This 858-nucleotide ribosomal RNA is filed under the name uncultured archaeon. Its description in RNAcentral is "bacterial SSU rRNA". It matches the Rfam family "Archaeal small subunit ribosomal RNA", at positions 1 to 865 of the family's 1478-position model. The record is from RNAcentral.
UCCGGUUGAUCCCGCCGGAAGUCACUGCUAUUGGGAUUCGACUAAGCCAUGCGAGUCGUGAGGGUUCGGCCCUCGGCAGACGGCUCAGUAACACGUAGAUAAUUUGCCCUUAGGUGGAGGAUACCCUCGGGAAACUGAGAAUAAUACUCCAUAGAUCUAAACUGCUGGAAUGCUUUUAGAUUGAAAGAUUUAUCGCCUAAGGAUAAGUCUGCGGACUAUCAGGUUGUAGUUAGGGUAAAUACCUGACUAGCCUACGACGGAUACGGGUAGUGAGAGCUUUAGCCCGGAGAUGAUAUCUGAGACACGAUAUCAGGCCCUACGGGGCGCAGCAGGCGCGAAAACUUCGCACUGUGCGAAAGCACGACGAGGGAAUCCCAAGUGCUGGCUCGUAAGAGUCAGCUGUUUCUCUGUCUAAAAGACAGGGAGAGUAAGAGCUGGGUAAGACGGGUGCCAGCCGCCGCGGUAAUACCUGCAGCUCAAGUGGUGGCCGCUAUUAUUGGGCCUAAAACGUCCGUAGCCGGUUUCAUAAAUGCCUGGGUAAAUCAUACGGCUUAACCGUAUGAAUUCCGGGUAGACUGUUUAACUUGAGACCGGGAGAGGCUAGAGGUACUCCUGGGGUAGAGGUGAAAUUCUGUAAUCCUAGGGGGACCACCAGUGGCGAAGGCGUCUAGCUAGAACGGGUCUGACGGUGAGGGACGAAGCCCUGGGGAGCAAACGGGAUUAGAUACCCCGGUAGUCCAGGGUGUAAACGCUGCUCGCUUGAUGUUAGUCGGGCUCCGAGCCUCAACUAGUGUCGGAGAGAAGUUGUUAAGCGAGCUGCCUGGGGAGUACGGUCGCAAGACUGAAACUUAAAGGAAU